CCUACGGGUGGCAGCAGUGAGGAAUAUUGGUCAAUGGACGAGAGCCUGAACCAGCCAAGUAGCGUGAAGGAUGACUGCCCUAUGGGUUGUAAACUUCUUUUAUAAAGGAAUAAAACGAGGCACGUGUGCCUUUUUGCAUGUACUUUAUGAAUAAGGAUCGGCUAAGUCCGUUCCAUCAGCCGCGGUAAUACGGAGGAUCCGAGCGUUAUCCGGAUUUAUUGGGUUUAAAGGGAGCGUAGAUGGGUUGUUAAGUCAGUUGUGAAAGUUUGCGGCUCAACCGUAAAAUUGCAAGUGAUACUGGCAGUCUUGAGGACAGUUGAGGUAGGCGGAAUUCGUGGUGUAGCGGUGAAAUGCUUAGAUAUCACGAAGAACCCCGAUUGCGAAGGCAGCAUACUAAACUGUGACUGACACUGAUGCUCGAAAGUGUGGGUAUCAAACAGGAUUAGAUACCCCAGUAGUC
RNAcentral lists this ribosomal RNA (460 nucleotides) under uncultured bacterium. Its description in RNAcentral is "partial 16S ribosomal RNA". It matches the Rfam family "Bacterial small subunit ribosomal RNA", at positions 338 to 795 of the family's 1533-position model. The record is from RNAcentral.